AGCAGCAGCCACGGUAAUACAGAGGUCUCAAGCGUUGUUCGGAUUCAUUGGGCGUAAAGGGUGCGUAGGCGGUCGGGUAAGUCGGAUGUGAAAUCCUGGGGCUCAACCUCAGAACUGCAUUCGAUACUGCUUGGCUAGAGGACUGGAGAGGAGACUGGAAUUCACGGUGUAGCAGUGAAAUGCGUAGAUAUCGUGAGGAAGACCAGCGGCGAAGGCGGGUCUCUGGACAGUUCCUGACGCUGAUGCACGAAGGCCAGGGGAGCAAAGGGGAUUAGAGACCCCAGUAGUCCCUGUCUCUUAUAC
This 303-nucleotide ribosomal RNA is filed under the name uncultured bacterium. RNAcentral describes it as "partial 16S ribosomal RNA". It matches the Rfam family "Bacterial small subunit ribosomal RNA", at positions 507 to 807 of the family's 1533-position model. The record is from RNAcentral.